This 253-nucleotide ribosomal RNA is filed under the name uncultured bacterium. RNAcentral's name for it is "partial 16S ribosomal RNA". It matches the Rfam family "Bacterial small subunit ribosomal RNA", at positions 524 to 776 of the family's 1533-position model. The record is from RNAcentral.
UACAGAGGGUGCAAGCGUUAAUCGGAAUUACUGGGCGUAAAGCGUGCGUAGACGGUUGCGUAAGUCAGAUGUGAAAGCCCCGGGCUCAACCUGGGAAUUGCAUUUGAGACUGCGUAGCUAGGGUGCGGAAGAGGGAAGCGGAAUUUCCGGUGUAGCGGUGAAAUGCGUAGAUAUCGGAAGGAACACCAGUGGCGAAGGCGGCACUCUGGGCCGGUACUGACGCUGAGGAGCGAAAGCGUGGGGAGCGAACAGG